This 503-nucleotide ribosomal RNA is filed under the name uncultured bacterium. Its description in RNAcentral is "partial 16S ribosomal RNA". It matches the Rfam family "Bacterial small subunit ribosomal RNA", at positions 29 to 523 of the family's 1533-position model. The record is from RNAcentral.
AUUGAACGCUGGCGGCAGGCCUAACACAUGCAAGUCGAACGGGGAGAUGCUGCUUGCACUAUCACGUGGCGGAGGACGGGUGAGUAAUGGUUAGGCAUGUCCAUAUCAGUGGGGGACCACACCUCAAAAGGGAUGCAAAUACCGCAUGAGUGCUACGGGUCAAAGGAGGGGAUAAAUGAGGACUCUGCGCUAAAAGAUGAGUGAUAGGCGGAUUAGCUAGUUGGUGGGGUAAAGGCCCACCAAGGCGACGAUCGAUAGCGGGUCUGAGAGGAUGAUCCGCCACACUGGAACUGAGACACGGCCCAGACUCCUACGGGAGGCAGCAGUGGGGAAUAUUGGACAAUGGGGGAAAGCCUGAUGCAGCCAUGCCGCGUGUGUGAAGAAGGCCUUAUGGUUGUAAAGCACUGUAGGCUAGGAGGAGGAUCUUUUGGUUAAUACGCAAAAUGAGUUGACGGUACUCGCAGAAUAAGCACCGGCUAACUCUGUGCCAGCCGCCGCGGUAA